Non-coding RNA from Camelina sativa (false flax), 394 nucleotides. Lineage: Eukaryota; Viridiplantae; Streptophyta; Magnoliopsida; Brassicales; Brassicaceae. The record is from RefSeq and is a predicted model, not a curated record.
GGUGAGGACUAUAUCCUAUAUUGCCAUCCAGAAAUUCAGAAAACGCCAAAGUCUGAUAAACUACGAGAAUGGUACUUAGCAAUGUUGAGAAAAGCUGCAAAGGAAGGGAUUGUUGCGGAAACUACAAAUCUAUAUGACCAUUUUUUCUUGCAAACUGGUGAAUGUAGAGCUAAGGUUACAGCAGCUAGGCUCCCCUACUUCGAUGGUGACUACUGGCCAGGUGCAGCAGAGGAUAUUAUAUACCAAAUGAGUCAAGAUGAUGAUGGUAGAAAGGGAAAUAAGAAAGGAAUACUCAAGAAACCCAUUACAAAAAGGGCUCUUAAAGCAUCUGGCCAGUCAGAUUUCUCAGGGAAUGCGUCCAAAGAUCUGCUGCUAAUGCAUAAACUUGGUGAGA